Molecule: long non-coding RNA, 2018 nt
Organism: Orbicella faveolata
Lineage: Eukaryota; Metazoa; Cnidaria; Anthozoa; Scleractinia; Merulinidae
Source: RefSeq, a predicted model, not a curated record
CUCCCGACCUCGAGCCAAAUAUUUUCCCGUUCAAUCCCACCUAACUCAGUCAUUAAGCAUUUAAUCAUAUGACCUGAAAAUUUUGAAAAUAAUUUCUGUUUGAACCUAAAAAGGACAUGAUUACAUAACAUCAGACGGGCCACACGCGGAACAACUACAGUUAAGAUUCUACGAUAAAAACUUGUCAUUUAUUUUUUCGCGUCCAAACAAGAAACACACAAUUUAUCGAAAAACAUGACUCGUUUUUUAAUUUUUGUUCUUCAAUGUAAGUCCUCAACUACAAUUCAUGCUAACAGGAUUGGCGAACCUGUUUAAAAAAUCAAUAGAAAGUUGACAUAAAGCUGUCAAAAAUAUGUCAAAACCAUCGAAACCUUAGCAAGUGACAAAAGUUCGCUUCAUGCUUCACUGAAAUUGUUCACAAAUCUUCUUUGUCCAAGGACUCGAGAAAAUGUUGGCGUCAUUUCAAGCGAUUUGUCGACCUCUUGGAUUCUCUUGAACAAGGGAGAACCAGCAACUGAAUAUUAAUGACACCAGUGUUGGCUCCCGCAAACAGUGUCUAGGUUUGCUGGCUUUGCUGUGUAGUGGAAAUUACACUAUUAAACACAAGCAAGUUUUAUUAUCUGGAUGAACUGUACGGUAAUGAACUUGUGUUUGGACUCAGUUUUGUCUCUUCAAACAACACUGAUGUAGAAACUGCGGAGCAAUUUAUCCUACUGUACACAAAGAUAUUGGCGCUUGCUGGUAAUAAUUAAUAGAAACACCAAACUACCUAAAGGUAAAUAGAUAUUUAACAGAAUGGAUUAUUUCUCAUUUCCAAUUUUUUAAACUAGAAUAUGAAGCACUUACGUAAUUACAGAUAAGAUAUUAGCUUAACAUCUAAAUGAUAUUUGGACUAGAAGGCAAUGAUCCUUUUUUAAGACUCCACGCCAUAAUAGCAAUGGGUUUCAUGAAAACUGAGACCCCAUUGCAAGCAGUAGUUAUAUUACCAUGGGAGGUUUUUUCCCCAUGUAUUUACUGGCCUUGAAAAAUACUAUUACUUCAACAGUAUUAUAUACAUGUGGUUUAGUUAAAACAGAGAAUAAAUUUAAAGAAAUUAAAGAAAUUUGAGUGGAUAAACAAAAUUAAACCAAAAUAUUAUAUGUAACACAUAAUGUAGAAAUUAAAUAGCAAAACAUGGUUGACAUAAGACAGUAGAGUGAGUUAACAAUUACAGUAGUAAUUGAGAAUGAAAUUGGAAAUGAGGACCAUAUGCUAAUACUAAUUAAAGAGCAAAGCUGUGAAGUUAUCUAAGGUGAUAAUGGCUUGCAAAAACAAUGUUCAAACAAGCCAUUGCAACCAUGAAGCUAUCUGAGGUGCUGCAGACUGCUGUGUUCCUAUACUGGGUCUUGUGAGUACUUUGAUGUGCGACUACAUCUUAGCAAUACUAGUCCUGGAUUUUGCAAUCAAAGGAAAACUUGACCUUUAAAUGGCAUGUUGCUUGGUUGAUGCAUAUCAUAACCGGCUGCUGGGUUUUCUUCUGUUGCGACAACAGGUUAUUGUAGGAGUUUUUAACCCAUGGGUUUCAGUACUGGCCAUGAAAAACUAGUAACACAAGAAAAGGUCGGUACAGGUCUAAAUAUAAUUAGAUGUAUCUUUGUUUAUUUACAUGCAAACUUAGAACACAUCAUGUUUCGUUUCUUGGAGCACCAGUCAGACUUGUGGGGUUACUGAGGUCAUGGCUGCUUGAAAAAGGCCAUGUUCAAACCAACAGCUGCACCCAUGAGGUUAUCUGAGGUGCUGACUAACACAACAUGGGAAUCACUUCAGAGAGCUGGAGCAAACUGCUGUGUUCCUUUGAGUACUUUGAUCUGUAACUACAUCUAUGGAUUUUGAGAUUGAAGGAAAGCUUGACCUUUAAAGGAUGUGUUGCUUGGGUGGGGCAUAAUUAUUAUAGCCUGCCCCUGGGUUUUUCUCCAUUGCGAGCAGUAGUUUUUCUAGAGGGUUUGACCCCAUGCCCUCACUGGGCAUGGAAAAAAAAA